CGCAGGCGCAUCUUCCUGCGGUGGUCGUCCGGCUGCUUCUUUGUGGCAGUCGCUGUCCUUUGUGGGAGGCCGGCGACGCUUUCUCUCGCUCGCGCGUCCGUCCGACGUUCUGUCUCUCCAUCCUUCCUGGGGCGUGUCUCCGGCCGUGCUUUGCGCGCGCUGAGCCCGAGGCCUGGCCCUGGUCUCCGCGGCGCGGGUUCUCUCCGAGAAGUGUGUGACGGGUGUGAUGGCUGUCCGACCCCUCCCGCAGCUGGGGCUCAGAGGGGGCCCGGCGGGUGUGAUUGUCAGCUGAGAGGGUGAGGGCGCGAUUGCGUGUGCGGCCCCGCCAGGCUCCGCUGCAGGCCGCUGUCCCAGAGCCCCGGUAGGACCCGCUCCUCCGGGCCUGGCCUGGGGCCCAGGAGACCACAGCUGCCCUCUGCUCCCGGGGACGCUGCUGAGGGGCGCCAUGGAGGCCCCUGAGGAGACAGCUCUGUCCCCUCAGGAUCCUGUUCUUCCCCUCAAAGGGAACCCAGAGGAUAAAUUGAGUUGGGGUCCCCUGGAAACUGAGUCCGAGGUGAGUGUCUUUUCUUCCUUAUGGACGUCUUGUUCUUUGUGAUGAGAGCACAUUUCUUUCACUGUCCUGGAUCUUAAGUCAUUCAUGGUCUCUCACCCAGAAACCUGCUCUCUCUAGUCCUUAGGAAGCUCUGGGCAAUGGGAAC
This 698-nucleotide long non-coding RNA is filed under the name Dasypus novemcinctus (nine-banded armadillo). Its description in RNAcentral is "lncRNA (ENSDNOG00000050678.1)". Lineage: Eukaryota; Metazoa; Chordata; Mammalia; Cingulata; Dasypodidae. The record is from RNAcentral.